Molecule: ribosomal RNA, 275 nt
Filed under: uncultured bacterium
Lineage: Bacteria
Description: partial 16S ribosomal RNA
Rfam family: Bacterial small subunit ribosomal RNA
Source: RNAcentral
CACACGUGUUACAAUGGGUGAUACAGAGGGCCGGCCGCUGGCAACAUCGGUCCAAUCCUUAAAGUCAUCCUCAGUUCGGACCGGGGUCUGCAACCCGACCCCACGAAGCUGGAUUCGCUAGUAAUCGCGCAUCAGCCAUGGCGCGGUGAAUACGUUCCCGGGCCUUGUACACACCGCCCGUCGAGCCAUGAAAGCCGGGGGCGCCUGAAGUCCGUGACCGCGAGGGUCGGCCUAGGGUGAAACCGGUGAUUGGGGCUAAGUCGUAACAAGGUAAC